Long non-coding RNA from Neofelis nebulosa (Clouded leopard), 5153 nucleotides. RefSeq lists it as uncharacterized. The record is from RefSeq and is a predicted model, not a curated record. The transcript has 2 exons. Lineage: Eukaryota; Metazoa; Chordata; Mammalia; Carnivora; Felidae.
CAGAGCAUGAACGGGGGAGGGGCAGAGAGAGAGGGAGACACAGAAUCGGAAGCAAGCUCCAGGCUCUGAGCCAUCAGCCCAGAGCCCGACGCGGGGCUCGAACUCGCGGACCGCGAGAUCGUGACCUGAGCUGAAGUCGGACGCUCAACCGACUGAGCCAUCCAGGCUCCCCAGAGUUCAUUUCUUGAUACACCUUCUUACACACCUGAUGUCUUGUACAUCAAGUGUACAGACUUUGUGCUAGCGUCUGCAUGUAGAUAAUCAGGCUCCUUUUAGGUAACAUUUCUUUUGUUUGCAUGAUAAUGUUUAUGCUAAUUUGUCUGCGGGAUUUGUCCCCUAAUACUUCCCAAAGCAAGAAGACAUUUAGGAAUGCUUUUAAGACGUUGCUCUCAAUUGGGUCUACAGAGGAGAUGUUUAAUAGCCCCGGGGAGCCCUGGACAAGUAAUAGAGUAACGUUACAAAGAGUUUGCCUGAAUCAGUUUGUUCUUCAGUUGUUUGUUAUGGUCAUCUGCCAGAGUUGGGUACGUGAAAAACAAGAAAGUGACUUAUAGGAACUUCCUGCUCCCAGGUGACUGGGCUCCUGGCCAUCCCACCUUUCCUCCUGACUUGGAGCUGAGCUGCUCAUUCUAGAAAUGGGCUCUGCAGGAAAGGGAAUUAGCAUUAAACUCAAGUCGUGAACUUUGAAAAGUUUGGUUUUAAGGCCAGAGACCCAACGCCUUCCUUAACUGAAGAGCCAGAAAGCUGAAGCCUUGUCCGAGGCCCAGGCCGUGGUAAUUCAUAGAACAGUUAGAACAAUAGCAGCCGUGAUCACUGCCUCAGGUUGAGAGUCUACUGUCGGUUGGCCACGUGGGCUAACUUGUCCACUUGCAAGGAUACUGUCUUGUUUCCCAGAGUCCUAUUUUUUUUUUUUCUGCCAUCAUUUUUUUUUCAGCUUUACUGAGGCAUAAUAGACAAAUACAACUGUAAGACGUUUAGAAUAGACACAUACAUUAUGAAAGGAUUCCUCUCAUCUACUUAAACACAUCCAUCACCCCACCUAUUUGUGUGUAUGUGAGAGCAUUUAAACGCUACUUGCAAGUUCCGAUUAUUCAAGACAGCAUUUUCAACUCUACUCACUGUGUUUUACAUUAGAUCCUCUGACCUUACUCACUUUGUAGCUGAAAAUGUGUACCCUUUUAUUAACCUCUCUCCAUUUCUCUGACCCUCCAGGCCCUGGCAACCACUUUUCUACUGUUUAUGAGUUUGACUUUUUUUUUUUAAUUUUUUUUUUUUAACGUUUAUUUAUUUUUGAGACAGAGAGAGACAGAGCAUGAACAGGGGAGGGGCAGAGAGAGAGGGAGACACAGAAUCCGAAACAGGCUCCAGGCUCCGAGCUGUCAGCACAGAGCCUGACGCGGGGCUCGAACUCACGGACCGUGAGAUCAUGACCUGAGCCAAAGUCGGGACACUUAACCGACCAAGCCACCCAGGCGCCCCUUGACUUUUUUUUUUAAGAGUCCACAUAAGAAGUGAUAACAUGUGGUAUUUGUCUUUCUCUGCCUGGCUUUUUUUUCUUUUUUUUUUUACUUAGCUUAAUGCCUUCAAGGUCCAUCCAUGUUGUUGUGAAUGGCAGAAUUCUCUUCUUAUGGCUGUAUAUGGAUAUAUUCCACAUCUUCUUUAUUGAGUCACCCAUUAAUGAACACUCAGGUUAUUUCUAUAUCUCAGCCAUUAUGGAUUUAUCCUGCAGUGAAUAUGGGAGUAUAGAUAUGUCUUUGAGAGCCUGUUUUUAUUUCCUUGGGUUAUUUAUCCCAAAGUCAGGUUGCUGGAUAGUAUGGUAUUUCUAUUUUUAAUUUUUUGAGGAACCACCGUACUGUUUUCCAUAGUGGCUGCUACCUUCCCACCAGCAGUCCCAACAUUUUCCUUUUCUCUCCUUCCUUGCCAGUGCUUGUCCUCUCCUAUUUUUUUUGAGUCACAUUUUUUUUAGGCUGAAAUGAGUCCCAUGAAAGAAGCUUGUCUACACUUUUCAUUUUACUCCCAAAGAAAUGGGUCUCCAGAGAGUAGCAUGCAUUUCCCAAGAUCCCACCGUUGGUUCUCCAGCUUUUACCCACAGAGAAUCAGAGAAUCUCGUCUCUUCUUCAGGGAGUGCCCUCAACCUUCCACAGUCAGGUCUGGUUGGGGGUGGGGUGGGUCGUGUAUGCUUUUUAAAUCAGGCUUACACCCGUGGAAGUUUGCACCCUUCACAUAAGGGGCUGCCUGUUCUGUGGGCACAUGACUGGUCACUGAACCGCAAUACACAGUCACCAUUCAGCAAGUCCUUGGCAAGAAGUACAACCUCAGGCUUCCACUGUUCAUGGGUUUGUGAGAAACGUUUAUCACGUAAAGAAUGGCUAGCAGGAUGCCCAUCUCUUGAGAAGCUCAUGGUUCCCCCCAGUAAGAUGAUCCGAGUUUACAUCCCAACUAAGCGACUUAUAAACUGUCCCUUGAGUGGACUACUUCGCCUCGGCGUUCCCCUCUGAAAAAUAGGGAUAGAAAUAGUGUUUCCUAUGCCCAGGAUAAGUGUGAGGAUAAAUGACUUCAUUCACUUAGGGGACUUCGAAUAGUACCUGGAUCAGAGCAAGUCUUCAAUAAACGUUGUCUGUAAAUAUUGACUAUUACUUAUCGCUGGAUUCAGCCAGAUGAUCAAGGAGCUUUGUGCGCUGAAAUCAGGGUGAUAUGUUCACGGUAAGGAAUGCUGUUGGGGAAACUGUUCCCUGCAUUGUGGUGGAAUCUUCAGGAGGAAGCCGGGAGAAAUUUCUCUCAGCUCUCUGCCUUAGAAAGAUCGUUCCCCUCUGGGCCCCCGUUUGUGUCUGAUCUUAUGGACACUUUGAAGCAUAUAGAACAGAGGUCAGCAAACUUUUUUGCUAAAGGACCAGUUGGGAGAUAGUUUUUGGCUUUCUGGGCCACAGAGUCUGCCUCCUGCGGCUGCUCAGCCCUGCCGUGGAAGCAGCUAGAGACAGCCUGUAAACAAGUGGAUGCAGCUGUGUUCCAGUAACACUUCAUUUACAGAAACAGACUUCAACCCCCGAUGGAGAGCGUGUUUUUCGUACACCCCCCUUCAGUACCAACUGAGUUGAGCGUCUAGCAAGUAAUGUGGCUACUGACACCACCCCUGCCUGCCUGUAUUCCACAUUUAUCUUCUGUUUACCUUCAUUCCACAACCCACCUUUUACUUUUGUUGUCUUCUUUCCCUACUGUCUCUAUCUGUAGGUGACAUGAGAUUUUUGUUGUUGUUGUUGUUAAACAGGAUGGGACUAUCAGUAAACACAUCAGUUAUUUGUCAUCAACUUAGAAACGAGGACUCUAGAAACCACUUCUGACUCAGAGUUCAACCGAUGUGGUUAAACAGAGAAACAGACCGUCCAAUACAGGCUGCCACCCAAUGUGUUGUCUCAUUGCUGACGUGCCAGCUAUGUGCAGACUUUUGCAGUUAGCAUGCCCUUGAACCUGAGAGGCUGAGAGAAGAGAGACCAGGGCUCCCGGUAGCCACAGAGUUCCAUUCCUUCCUCUCUCAUUGUAGAAUUUCUUUUAAAUGAAAACAGCCUCUUUGGUUUGCAAGCCUAACUCUGGCAGGAAGACAAAUGAUUUUUUUACAGUAUCAGACACGCGGUUUCCUGUCUGUGUUUAACUUGCUAGCAGAACAUCUCAGCCAGCUGGUUCCCCCUGGACCUAUUGUGACCUUAAUAACAUGGCCUCGCGCCAUCCAGCACACGCACUCCAUGUAUCGAUCCCAUGCCUCGUGCACUUUAUUGACUCGUAUCGGUUUCUGAGUCGGAGAGGACCUGGGAGCACCGCCCCCUUUCCCUUAAAUCCCACUUUGUGUUUGUUCCGUCCCAGCAUCACGGGGCUGGCUUCUUGGGGAAACUCUUCGUUCUCACGUGGAAGAAAUGAGAAGAAUAAAGGGGCUUUGGCAGCUCCGUGAGUUCUGGGUGUGCUGCCUUUGAACUGUGCAGUCGCUACUCAAAAUAGCUGGCUCGCCAGCUGUGUGUUUUUGUUGCAGGAGAAGCAAACCAGAUUUACUUUCUGGUCUCAUUGUAGGAGAAAAAAGUUAAGUGUGGAAAUAUGGUUGUGAAGAGUUGUUAGAAGAGGAAGAAAACUAUGGAUUAAACUCACUGGUUUCAUUCCUGGGAAGAGAAGUCAGUUAUUUGAGGUGAUGAUUCAGUGCUGAAGGAGCCUUUGGUUAUGAAUGAGCUAGGUUAGAAAGCAUCCUCUGAAUCUGUGAAUACGGCCUAUGUCUGGCCAAGGAAAUAAUAAAGAUCGUACAUGCCAGAGGGCAUUGUGACUGAGUCAAGUGCAGCUUAGAAUGUAUUUGUGGCGUCUCCGGGCAAAGCAACUCGCCUUUGUAGAUUUUUUUUUUUUUUUUCUCUAAGCAGCAAAGUAAACAAAGAUGCUCUGAGGUUAGAUGUGGUUGCUGGUUGUGAAUCUGUCUACACUGGAACCUCAUUCCACUGUGAAUCAUGGCAGAGUGGAAUCUCGAAUCCCAUCCACUUGGAUGUGAGUGACCAGUUAAACAUUUGGUCCAAUAAGGUGGGACAUCUGUAGUCUCUCAUCACCCCCAUGACCACCUCCUUGUGCUGUACAAACAACACAUGGGAUGGGUGACUGUGAAAAGGGUCCACAGAGACCCUUUGGCUAUUUUACAAGUGUCUCAGCGCCCCACCAGUGGAAAAACACCAGGAAGCUAGCUAACCACCAUGAAAUUGACUUUCAUUUCCGCUCAUACUAAACUCCAGAGGCUGUAUUUACCACCAGUUGGCCAUCUGGCUGACAAGACUUUGUAAAAUCUUUUCUGAUCCUGAAAUCACUCCUGCAUGGUGCUAAUUAUGUAAAUAUCAAAUUUACCAGCAAUCAGUAUACAUUCAUUAAGAAGGAACCUUUUUUUUUUUUUUUAUCUUUUGCUUUAGAGAACAGUAUGAAAACCACUACGUGGAUGUACAGGAAGUCCACUUUGACUUAAUGUCCCAUCCUAUUCAGAAUACCUAUUUCUCCCAUCCAGCUGAAGUCAUUCUCUGCUUUGGCUGCACUUUGGAAACACCUGAGAGGCUUUAAAAACCACUCAUUAACUGGGUCUUAGCCCUGUAGUUUCAGACUUAAUUGGUCUGAGUCCUGGUAUCAGGAUUAAAAAAAAAAAAAAACAA